UGGGGGAUUAGUGGCGAACGGGUGAGUAACACGUGAGUAACCUGCCCUUGACUCUGGGAUAAGCCUGGGAAACUGGGUCUAAUACCGGAUAUGACUCCUCAUCGCAUGGUGGGGGGUGGAAAGCUUUUGUGGUUUUGGAUGGACUCGCGGCCUAUCAGCUUGUUGGUGGGGUAAUGGCCUACCAAGGCGACGACGGGUAGCCGGCCUGAGAGGGUGACCGGCCACACUGGGACUGAGACACGGCCCAGACUCCUACGGGAGGCAGCAGUGGGGAAUAUUGCACAAUGGGCGAAAGCCUGAUGCAGCGACGCCGCGUGAGGGAUGACGGCCUUCGGGUUGUAAACCUCUUUCAGUAGGGAAGAAGCGAAAGUGACGGUACCUGCAGAAGAAGCGCCGGCUAACUACGUGCCAGCAGCCGCGGUAAUACGUAGGGCGCAAGCGUUAUCCGGAAUUAUUGGGCGUAAAGAGCUCGUAGGCGGUUUGUCGCGUCUGCUGUGAAAGACCGGGGCUCAACUCCGGUUCUGCAGUGGGUACGGGCAGACUAGAGUGCAGUAGGGGAGACUGGAAUUCCUGGUGUAGCGGUGAAAUGCGCAGAUAUCAGGAGGAACACCGAUGGCGAAGGCAGGUCUCUGGGCUGUAACUGACGCUGAGGAGCGAAAGCAUGGGGAGCGAACAGGAUUAGAUACCCUGGUAGUCCAUGCCGUAAACGUUGGGCACUAGGUGUGGGGGACAUUCCACGUUUUCCGCGCCGUAGCUAACGCAUUAAGUGCCCCGCCUGGGGAGUACGGCCGCAAGGCUAAAACUCAAAGGAAUUGACGGGGGCCCGCACAAGCGGCGGAGCAUGCGGAUUAAUUCGAUGCAACGCGAAGAACCUUACCAAGGCUUGACAUGAACCGGAAAGACCUGGAAACAGGUGCCCCGCUUGCGGUCGGUUUACAGGUGGUGCAUGGUUGUCGUCAGCUCGUGUCGUGAGAUGUUGGGUUAAGUCCCGCAACGAGCGCAACCCUCGUUCUAUGUUGCCAGCGCGUUAUGGCGGGGACUCAUAGGAGACUGCCGGGGUCAACUCGGAGGAAGGUGGGGACGACGUCAAAUCAUCAUGCCCCUUAUGUCUUGGGCUUCACGCAUGCUACAAUGGCCGGUACAAAGGGUUGCGAUACUGUGAGGUGGAGCUAAUCCCAAAAAGCCGGUCUCAGUUCGGAUUGGGGUCUGCAACUCGACCCCAUGAAGUCGGAGUCGCUAGUAAUCGCAGAUCAGCAACGCUGCGGUGAAUACGUUCCCGGGCCUUGUACACACCGCCCGUCAAGUCACGAAAGUUGGUAACACCC
Molecule: ribosomal RNA, 1325 nt
Filed under: Paenarthrobacter sp.
Lineage: Bacteria; Bacillati; Actinomycetota; Actinomycetes; Micrococcales; Micrococcaceae
Description: bacterial SSU rRNA
Rfam family: Bacterial small subunit ribosomal RNA
Source: RNAcentral